Molecule: ribosomal RNA, 336 nt
Filed under: Chryseobacterium balustinum
Lineage: Bacteria; Pseudomonadati; Bacteroidota; Flavobacteriia; Flavobacteriales; Weeksellaceae
Description: bacterial SSU rRNA
Source: RNAcentral
UAGAGAGCGGCGUACGGGUGCGGAACACGUGUGCAACCUACCUUUAUCAGGGGGAUAGCCUUUCGAAAGGAAGAUUAAUACCCCAUAAUAUAUUGAYUGGCAUCAGUCGAUAUUGAAAACUCCGGUGGAUAGAGAUGGGCACGCGCAAGAUUAGAUAGUUGGUAGGGUAACGGCCUACCAAGUCAGUGAUCUUUAGGGGGCCUGAGAGGGUGAUCCCCCACACUGGUACUGAGACACGGACCAGACWCCUACGGGAGGCAGCAGUGAGGAAUAUUGGACAAUGGGUGAGAGCCUGAUCCAGCCAUCCCGCGUGAAGGACGACGGCCCUAUGGGUUG